Molecule: ribosomal RNA, 257 nt
Filed under: uncultured bacterium
Lineage: Bacteria
Description: partial 16S ribosomal RNA
Rfam family: Bacterial small subunit ribosomal RNA
Source: RNAcentral
GUCCAUGCCGUAACGGUGGGCGCUAGGUGUAGGGCUUCCACGUAUUCUGUGCCGUAGCUAACGCAUUAAGCGCCCGCCUGGGAGUACGGCCGCAAGGCUAAACUCAAAGGAAUUGACGGGCCCGCACAAGCGGCGGAGCAUGUGGAUUAAUUCGAUGCAACGCGAAAACCUUACCUACCCUUGACAUGUCAAGAAUCCCGGAGAGAUUUGGGAGUGCUCGAAAGAGAACUUGAACACAGGUGCUGCAUGGCCGUCGU